Molecule: small nuclear RNA, 104 nt
Organism: Mesocricetus auratus (golden hamster)
Lineage: Eukaryota; Metazoa; Chordata; Mammalia; Rodentia; Cricetidae
Source: Ensembl
UUUGAGCAAAUCCCUUAAAAUAUACUAAAAUUGGAAUGAUACAGAGAUUAGCAUGGCCUCUGAGCAAGGAUGCCUCGAAAAUUCAUGAAUCGUUCCAUAGUUUU